Molecule: ribosomal RNA, 406 nt
Filed under: uncultured bacterium
Lineage: Bacteria
Description: bacterial SSU rRNA
Rfam family: Bacterial small subunit ribosomal RNA
Source: RNAcentral
GGGGAAUCUUGCACAAUGGGCGAAAGCCUGAUGCAGCGACGCCGCGUGCGGGACGAAGGCCUUCGGGUUGUAAACCGCUUUCAGCAGGGACGAGGCCGCAAGGUGACGGUACCUGCAGAAGAAGCCCCGGCUAGCUACGUGCCAGCAGCCGCGGUAAUACGUAGGGGGCGAGCGUUAUCCGGAUUCAUUGGGCGUAAAGCGCGCGUAGGCGGCCUGCUAGGUUGGGACUCAAAUCCGGGGGCUCAACCCCCGCCCGGUCCCGAUACCGACAGGCUUGAGUCUGGUAGGGGAAGGCGGAAUUCCAAGUGUAGCGGUGGAAUGCGCAGAUAUUUGGAAGAACACCGGUGGCGAAGGCGGCUCUCUGAUCUGUAACUGACGCUGAGGCUCGAAAGCGUGGGGAGCGAAC